AUCUUCAACCGCGCUUUUCUUCAGAAUCAUCUGAGCACCCGUCCAUCGCACGAAGACCUAGGCCUCAAUGACGCGUGGGUCUAGAAACCUAAUACCGCGUCGCGGUCCCAUCUGCCAUAGACCUACUCAAAACCCCACACCACACCGUCUGGUCGUCCAUGGAGAAAACUCGUUGAGCAGAUUCCUUGUUCCUGCAGUAACCCUGUCCAACCCCCGCAGCGGCGGCAACCACAGAAACACUGCCUGUAAAUUCCAUUCCUCCGCGUUCGGCCUCCCUCAUCGCGCGACCGUUCCCUCUGCUCGAAUCGGCAAGCCCGCAUUUCGAGCCCCGGAGGUGGCCGCGAACCCUAACCCUACAGCGAGGCGUCGCCGGAGUUGUGGGGGCUCCGUUGGCCAUGUCGAUGGACUCGGACAGCUCGUCGCACAGCGGCGCCGACUACAGGAGUUUCCGCCAGAUCACCCGAGACCGUUUGUUAGUUGAAAUGCUGAGAUCGACUCGAAAGAGCUCAAAAUCAUCAUGGAAGGUUCUAAUCAUGGACAAACUUACUGUCAAGAUAAUGUCAUUUUCAUGCAAGAUGGCAGAUAUCACAGAAGAAGGGGUUUCAUUGGUUGAAGACCUAUACAAACGGAGGCAGCCAUUGCCUUCAAUGGAUGCAAUUUAUUUUAUGCAGCCUACUAAAGAAAAUGUUGACAUAUUCAUGUCGGACAUGUCAGGAAAAAAUUCAUUGUACAAGAAAGCUUAUGUAUUUUUCAGUUCUCCUGUACAGAGGGAGUUGGUAGCUCAUAUAAAAAAGGAUUCGACUGUGCUAACACGCAUCAGUGCACUUAGUGAGAUGAACUUAGAAUACUUUGCUAUUGACAGUCAGGGCUUCAUAACUGACCAUGACAAGGCCUUGGAGGAGUUGUUUAGUGAAGAUGCAGAAGGCUCACACAAGUACAAUGCAUGCCUUAACACAAUGGCUACAAGAAUUGCUACAGUGUUUGCAUCAUUGAGGGAAUUUCCUCGUGUGCACUAUCGUGUAGCCAGGACAAUCGAUGCAUCUACUCUGACGACACUACGAGAUUUGGUCCCAACAAAGCUUGCUGCUUCCCUGUGGAAUUCCCUUGUCAGAUUUAAGUCAACGAUACCUGAAUUUCCACAAACAGAAACAUGUGAACUACUUAUUGUUGACCGGUCAAUAGAUCAGAUUGCACCAAUUAUUCAUGAGUGGACGUAUGAUGCUAUGUGCCAUGAUCUAUUGUGUAUGGAUGGCAACAAGUACGUGCAAGAGGUUCCAAGUAAGAAUGGUUCAGCAAAUGAGAAAAAGGAGGUUUUGUUGGAGGAUCAUGAUCCAGUAUGGCUUGAGCUGCGGCAUGCACAUAUAGCUCAUGUUAAUGAAACGCUACAUGAAAAGAUGACCAGUUUUGUAUCAAAGAACAAAGCAGCUCAACUACAGCAGGCAAGAUCUGGUGGAGAGUUAUCUACCAAGCAGUUGCAGAAAAUGGUUCAAGCUCUUCCACAAUACAGUGAUCAAAUUGACAAGCUCACCCUUCAUGUUGAGAUUGCAGGAAAACUCAAUAACAUAAUCAAAGAACACCACCUUAAAGAUGUUGGACAGCUAGAGCAAGAUCUUGUGUUUGGUGAUGCUGGGACAAAAGAACUAAUCAGUUUCUUACGAACCCGCAUGGAUGUAAGUCGUGAACAUAAGCUGCGUUUGCUGAUGAUUUAUGCUUCCAUAAACCCAGAGAAAUUUUUCGAAAGUGAGAAAGGUGCAAAGCUGAUGCAGCUUGCAGGAUUAUCUGCUGAUGAUAUGAUUGUAGUAAAUAAUAUGCGCUGCUUACGUGGAGCUGAUUCUAAGAAGUCUUCAGUUGGGGCUUUUACUUUGAAAUUUGAUCUUCAGAAGAAAAAGCCUGGUAUCAGGAAGGAGCGGACUGGAGAAGAGUCAACAUGGAUGCUAUCUCGAUUUUAUCCCAUCCUGGAGGACUUGAUUGAGAAACUUAGUAAGGGUGAGCUACCAAAAGAUGAGUACCACUGCAUGAAUGAUCCUAGUCCUAGUUUCCGUGGAAUUCCAGGGAGCACAUCUGCUCGAACGAGCCCAGCUCAUCAGCCAGCCCAAUCCAUGAGAUCUAGACGAAUAGGUGGCACAUGGGCUAGACCUCGGAACUCCGAUGAUGGUUAUUCGAGCGGUAGAGCCUACCGUCUGUAACCGGAAGGUCCCGGGUUCGAGCUCCAGCCUCUGCAUAUUAUGCGGUGACUCUGUACUGAAGCAUGCAUCAAGUGACUUCAGAAAGUUGGGCCAGCGCCUAUUUAUCUUUGUAAUUGGAGGUGCUACUCGGUCUGAGUUGCGUGUUGCCCAUAAGCUGUCAGGCAAACUGAAGAGAGAAAUUAUCCUUGGCUCCUCUAGUCUUGAUGACCCACCGCAGUUCAUCACUAAACUGAAGAUGUUAUCAACCGAGGAACUGUCGCUUGAUGAUUUGCAAAUAUAACAAUUCCAAGGACGAUUGUCCGUGGCAUUCUACACUGUAAUUAUUUAUUUAUUUGCAUCUCUACAACGGGUUUAGUUUUACUCCCUUAACCGAACCACAGGUGCUCUUACACAGGCUAGAGGGGCAUGAUAUUCAUUCGGUAGCCAAUGUCAGUUACAAUCGAGUGUACACACAUGGCAGCGACCAGAGACUGUAAUAUAGGUGGCGUCUUUAUUAGAUUGGUGGAUCAGUGAAGUUCAAUGUUCCGAGGACUUCUAUUUGUCCUCAGAUUGCUGCUAUUUUGUGGGGAAAGUGUAUAUUUUUUCCUCAAA
Molecule: RNA transcript, 2777 nt
Organism: Zea mays
Lineage: Eukaryota; Viridiplantae; Streptophyta; Magnoliopsida; Poales; Poaceae
Gene name: SNARE-interacting protein KEULE
Exons: 22
Source: RefSeq, marked validated